RNAcentral lists this small RNA (169 nucleotides) under Prodigiosinella confusarubida. Its description in RNAcentral is "Serratia sp. ATCC 39006 SraG RNA". It matches the Rfam family "SraG RNA". From Rfam's summary of the family: This RNA was discovered in E. coli during a large scale screen. Evidence was found for specific cleavage of this RNA. The record is from Rfam by way of RNAcentral. Lineage: Bacteria; Pseudomonadati; Pseudomonadota; Gammaproteobacteria; Enterobacterales; Pectobacteriaceae.
CAGUCACUACAUCCUCGCGACUAAUGACAACCUUCAGUCUGCCUUUGCAGAUAAAGCCUCUCAUUAGCCGCGCGAAUCGCUGUAAUAACGGAUCCUGUUUAAAACACAAUACAUUACUCUGUUUUACUAGACCUUCCUAGAAGAAAGGGGCCGCAAGAGGCCCCUUCCC